CAUGAGAAAGUAUAUUAAAGGGUCCCAGCAUUAGGAAGGUUCUAGCAUAACAGCAUGGUCAAACAGAACUCAGGCAGGACGCAGCCUCUCCCCAUGAGCUCCUCGGUGGUGUGGAUGUCUUAUGGAUGUGUUGCCAGGCUUUCCUUUUUCAGAUUUUCACAGCUUUGACCAAACCCUCCGACCACAGUGACUGAAUGCUUCCAAGGCAUUCCUUGCCUUCCUUGUUAUGUGAGUCUUCACCCCGAGCCGUCCAUCUUCACUGUGUUUUGCUGCAAUACCAAAGUAGUCAAAUCCCAGGCUUAUUUACAAAUGGCAUUCUUCAGCAUCAUGUGUCCUUCCAGAGAAGCCCAUGCCUUGAGAAUGCUGUGGUCAUUGCCAAGCAGGACAACUGAGGGUCAAAACAACAACCCGCAGAGCAUAAAGGUUCUGCUUGGGUGCAGCCCGUCACACCUGCUGGCACAAGCGAAUCACAAGGUGAAGUCUGAACGAGGGAGGAGGUAAAGGAGUGUAGCAGUCUUACAGGACGAGAGACCAGAAUUCCCAGUGAUAACAGAUAUGACACUACUCUGUCUUGGACAAACUAUUAAUUUCCCUGUAGGCAACAACUGUCACUAUCUUGAUUUAAAACACCCUCAAAUCCCUGCAGACUAUGCUAUCCUGUAGUUUUCUGAACGCAGUCUAUACCCAGUCACCUUGACAUAGACCUGCAAACACCACACCAGCAGCAACAACCCAAGUUAACUUUGGAGGAAAGUGGCACAGUGAAUGUCCCCAUGUGACAAAGCUAAUGAUGUUAGGAGGCACGCUCUAGCCCCGCACCGAGAGUCACCAUCCCAGGGGAGGUUCCUGGGUUUCUUUCUUCAGCUCUACUACUACACCUUCAAAGUUUUUGCAGUGAAGAUGAAUUCCUUAGCACACGUGAAGACCACUUUCCAAGCCAUCGGCCUGAUGUACAAAUCUGAAGCAGAACAUACUGUGUGAAGUCUUUCUUCUUGACUAAAGCAGAGACUCCAGGCUCCCCGUGUGGUGUGGUGAUACACAGCAAGGUCAACGGACUGAGUGAACACAGAUAGCAAUUUGGACAUUCAGAGCCUCUCCAAGCAGUGAUUGACUACACAGAGAGAUCCAGCCAGAAGUGGCCCCCACCCGCCCCUCGCUGACCUUCACUUGGAAACUUACUGACUGGAUAGUUUUGUUAAGCUACAUUUUCCUGUGUCCCUUUACUUGGACCAUAGAAACUUUGAACGUUGGCUUUUCACUGGAUCAAAAUGUUGGAAGACCUCUGAAUGGUAAGCUCAUUUUAAUGACAUUCUGAAUGGAAAUGAGGAAGAUGUUGGAAGCAAGAGGGAGGGCACCUUCUUGUUAAAAGAAGGCAAAGGCCUCAGCUGAAUUGUGUCUCUACCUUAGUGCUUUGUGGACAGCAGAAGGUAAGGACAAUGAGAAACCACCUGGUGAUAUUAGUCUACUUAUUCAUCAUGAUCCCAAAUGGGUCAAGAUACAGCACUUGUUUGGGGAGUAGUUUAGUUAGUUCUUUGAUGCCAUGAUAAAUAACAUGAUCAAAAGGAAAUCGGGGAAGAAAGGGUUCAUUUCAUCUCACAUUUCUAGUUCAUCACUGAGUGAAUUGAGAGCAGUCACUCAAGAUAUGGGCCUGGAUGUAGAAACUUAAAACAGAAACCAUGGAUGAGUGCUUACUGGCUUGCUAGCUCUUUGGCAUCUUCUCAACUACCUUUUGUACAUAGUCCAGGACCACCUCUGUAGGAAUGGUACCACCCACACUGGGCUGGGACCUUCUAUCUUAAUCAUUAAUCAAGAAAAUGCCUCACUGAUAUGCCAUGGGCCCAUCUGAGGAAGGCAGUUCCUGGCAACUCUGGUUGUGUCAGCUGGCAAUAAAGACUUGUCAGCAUAGUGAGUCUUUCAUGUUUAGUUCACCAACUCUGGAAGUCCCCUCACAGGCACGCCCACAGGUUGACUUUACUAACCCUCAAGUCUCUCCGCAAGGUUAAGAACACAUAGCUCCUGAGGUUGAAGAGUCCUUUUCACUAUCAUCCCUGGCUCCUGGCUUAUAUCCUGCUACAGAGCAAGAUAUUGCAUGCAAUUCAGCUGUCACAUGGAGUUCCAAGCAGAAUCAGGCAGGAGAGGAAAGCAAAAACCAUCUGUAAGCCACUGUUUGACAGACCCUCACCUAGUGUUCACCUUGCAGCCCCUAACUGAAUAGCAGGGCUUCAUCUGACUACAAGAAAGCCUGCCUGUUUGUUUGUUUUAAAGCCAGGCGUUUUGCAAUUCAAAUAAAAUCAGGUCUGUGUCAUUAAAGACAGACGAUGCUUGUCUUGUCGUGGGAGUGAAGCUGUUUGAGGAGUGACCACUGCUGUCGAUGUGAGAGGAGCAAAUGUGGCAUUUGCAAAGAGGGACACUGAGAAGCUGAGUUCAGGCAGAAGUAGAGGGGAUGAGAAGGAAGGGCAGAAAGGAGUAUUGGCAGAGGGGCGGCAAGACCACAAUAGGUUUUAUUCCUUACACUGGUUCAAGAACACAAGUUCCCUUUGACUUAAGUCUACAAACGCCCAUUCUAUUGAAUUCAAUGUCAUUAUGCUAAAUUUAGUUGGUAAAUAUUGAAAUAAACGAAAGGCAGGAAAACGGUGCUUCAAAAUCUAAAUACAAUUCUUAGAUGUACUUCUGGAAGUAUUCGUGUCACCUCAAGGCUCCAUUUCUCAAAGACAGAGGAAGGUAGAAGACAUUAGUUAAUAAGUACAGAAUAUCUUUCUAAAAAUAAGUACAGCUACUCUUUGCUUAUAAACACCCAAGACAUAUAUGAGUCUCAAUGUCAGAAAAUAACUCCGAGGAAACCCUAAGGAUACUCUCUCUAUCUUCAUGCCAGAAGCCAUCUGCCUUUCCUGAAGAUAUUCCAAGAGUCGUUUAAACUUAGCAUUUUUCUUCUUCCCAUUCCAUAUUUCUAAAAGACAACUUGAACUGCUUUGAGUGUACCCGUUUUAUCUUAAGGAAAUUAGGUUGCCAAAAAACCAUAUCUAGAAAUCUAACCACACACACACACACACACACACAC
Molecule: long non-coding RNA, 3058 nt
Organism: Mus musculus (house mouse)
Lineage: Eukaryota; Metazoa; Chordata; Mammalia; Rodentia; Muridae
Product: predicted gene, 32499
Exons: 3
Source: RefSeq, a predicted model, not a curated record